UAAUGAAACACUUUCCAUCUCUCUUCCUAGCAGAUUCAAGCCCCAGUAAGACAACAGCCAAAGGUUCAGACAACCCCACCUCCUGCCGUCCAGGGGCAGAAAGUUGGAUCUCUCACUCCACCCUCGUCCCCCAAAACCCAACGUGCUGGGCACAGGCGUAUUCUCAGUGACGUAACCCACAGUGCAGUCUUUGGGGUCCCUGCCAGCAAAUCAACCCAGCUGCUCCAGGCAGCUGCAGCUGAGGCCAGUCUCAAUAAGUCCAAGUCUGCAACCACCACUCCUUCAGGCUCUCCUCGGACCUCUCAACAAAACGUUUAUAAUCCUUCAGAAGGGUCUACGUGGAAUCCCUUCGAUGACGAUAAUUUCUCCAAACUCACAGCUGAAGAACUGCUAAACAAGGACUUUGCCAAGCUGGGGGAAGGCAAACAUCCCGAGAAGCUUGGAGGCUCAGCUGAGAGUUUGAUCCCAGGCUUUCAAUCAACCCAAGGUGAUGCUUUUGCUACGACCUCAUUUUCUGCUGGAACUGCUGAAAAAAGGAAGGGUGGGCAGACUGUGGACUCUGGCCUCCCGCUUCUAAGCGUGUCUGAUCCUUUCAUUCCUCUUCAAGUACCUGAUGCACCAGAAAAACUAAUUGAGGGACUCAAAUCUCCUGACACUUCUCUUCUGCUCCCUGACCUCUUGCCUAUGACAGAUCCUUUUGGUAGCACUUCCGAUGCUGUAAUUGAAAAAGCUGAUGUUGCUGUUGAGAGUCUCAUACCAGGACUGGAGCCCCCAGUUCCCCAGCGCCUCCCAUCUCAGACGGAAUCUGUGACCUCGAAUCGCACAGAUUCUCUCACCGGGGAAGAUUCCCUGCUUGAUUGCUCUCUGCUCUCUAACCCUACUACUGACCUUCUGGAAGAGUUUGCCCCCACAGCAAUCUCUGCUCCAGUCCAUAAAGGUAAAUGCUUUCUUCUUCUCAGGCCCACGUGUGUCCUUAGAGGGGAAAGAACUAAACAACUUUUGAAAGUUUUUCUUAUCAAAAGUCUUUACUAGUGAAGUUUUAAAACUACCUCCUUAUAUGGAAAACUUGAGUAUCUCCUAGAUACUGUGUUAUAAUACCUCUCAGUGAGAAUAUUUACUAAGACUUAGACGACAGGCCAGUUGUGGUAGCUCAGGCCUGCAAUCCCAGCACUUUGGGAGGCUGAGGCGGGAGGAUCACUUGAGCCUAGGAAUUUGAGACCAGCCUGGACAACAUACGGAGUCUCAGUCUCUACAAAAAAAUUUUUUAAUUAGCCAGCCAUGGCAGCAUGCACCGGUGGUACCAGCUUCUCGGGAGACUGAGGUGAGAUGAUUGCUUGAGGCCCAGAGGGCAAAGCUGCAGUGAGCCAUGAUCGCCCCACUGCACUACAGCCUGGGCAGCAGAGCAAAACUCUGUCUUAAAAAAAAAAAAA
This 1430-nucleotide small RNA is filed under the name Pongo abelii (Sumatran orangutan). RNAcentral's name for it is "retained intron". Lineage: Eukaryota; Metazoa; Chordata; Mammalia; Primates; Hominidae. The record is from RNAcentral.